RNAcentral lists this ribosomal RNA (253 nucleotides) under uncultured bacterium. Its description in RNAcentral is "partial 16S ribosomal RNA". It matches the Rfam family "Bacterial small subunit ribosomal RNA", at positions 524 to 776 of the family's 1533-position model. The record is from RNAcentral.
UACGAAGGGUGCGAGCGUUGUUCGGAAUUAUUGGGCGUAAAGGGUUCGUAGGCGGGAGAAUAAGUUAAGUGUGAAAGGCCUGGGCUCAACCUGGGAGGGUCACUUAAGACUGUUUUUCUUGAGUAUCAGAGAGGGUGGUGGAAUUGCUGGUGUAGGAGUGACAUCCGUAGAGAUCAGCAGGAACAUCGGAGGCGAAGGCGACCACCUGGCCGGAGACUGACGCUGAGGAACGAAAGCGUGGGGAGCAAACAGG